This 731-nucleotide long non-coding RNA is filed under the name Olea europaea subsp. europaea. Lineage: Eukaryota; Viridiplantae; Streptophyta; Magnoliopsida; Lamiales; Oleaceae. The record is from RNAcentral.
UAUCAUGGACAUGCUAACAUUUUUAAAUUGAUUUAUUUAGGAAUCUGCAGAAUAGAAACACGAAAACAUUUCAACCACAUUUUUUGAUAGAAAAAUAAAAACAGAUAGUAAGAAAAUAAGACAUUAUGAGAUUUUUGAUACAAAAUACUGGAUAGAAUCGAAAAUUAUUAAAAACGAGAUCUUAUCAUUACUUUUAUUCUUGUCUAGUCCAGUUCAGUUGACCUCACUGGAAUCGGGUUUCAGUUUUCUUGUAGUAAAUGCAGUCGUUGUUUCUUGCUAGUGAUGCUGGGGAUCUGGUCCAUCUGGUACAGUUUUGUUUGUACCCACCAUUACCCUCCUACUUGUCUUCUUCAUCUUUGAUAAGUAUUGAAACCCUAAUUCCUGUAAAAUUUUCCUGCUGUCUAGUCUUGUCUGCAUAUUUAGUACCCCUCUAUAACUCGAUGCUGCUGCUAAAUUAACGUUAACAUGAGAAAAUAAAAUCAAUAAAAAUAAUACUGCAAUUCUUACACUUGAUAAAUUGGCCAUUUCGAUUCUUUGGAAUGUGAACUAAUGACGAAGUAGUUUGGGCUAGGGAGCAGAGAUAUUAUGCAGUAUGAUGAAGUAAAUAUCAAGUAACAUCAAGUCAAAUAUAUAACAGAAAUUGUACGGAAAAAGUCCAAAAAAAUGAAUUAUUUAUUAACUAUUUUUCGCCAAAAAUAUUUCUUGCCUGGAUCUGUAAAAUGGAGUUGCUU